RNAcentral lists this ribosomal RNA (253 nucleotides) under uncultured bacterium. RNAcentral's name for it is "partial 16S ribosomal RNA". It matches the Rfam family "Bacterial small subunit ribosomal RNA", at positions 524 to 776 of the family's 1533-position model. The record is from RNAcentral.
UACGUAGGGGGCAAGCGUUGUCCGGAUUCAUUGGGCGUAAAGAGCGUGUAGGCGGCCAGGUAGGUCGGUUGUGAAAACUGGAGGCUCAACCCUCAGACGUCGACCGAAACCAUCUGGCUAGAGUCCGGGAGAGGAGAGUGGAAUUCCUGGUGUAGCGGUGAAAUGCGCAGAUAUCAGGAAGAACACCCGUGGCGAAAGCGGCUCUCUGGAACGGUACUGACGCUGAGACGCGAAAGCGUGGGGAGCGAACAGG